UCGACACAUCAGCCUCAAGGAGCACAAAGCGAUUCUUGAUCAGGAGAAAGACACUCGUGUUCAAAAUCUAUUACAGGAUUGUUGCUUCUACUUGUCAACCAAACAACAUUUUGCGUCUCCUUCAGCACACAUCACACCUAGUCUCAUACCAGCAUAUCAUUGCUAGGAAACAACAGAGUUAGGAAUUUCACAGCAGCCAGAGUCUGUAACCAAAAAAAGCGAAAGAGGGAGGAAAAAAAUAUUUUAACGAGCUGCUAACUACUUGACGUUUCAGACAUAACCUCAGACUGUAGCUAAUGAUUUUACAUCAAAAGUGGCAAAGUGUUUGUUUACAAGUUCAGACCUGUCACCACCGAGUACACCACAAAAGCAAGUCUCUUCUCAGAGUGACAACUUUCCAUUUCUCGGGGGUGCCAUGCUUGUAUAUUGCUUGCCUGCCACAAACCCUCAAACUAUAUCACAUAGAGAGACUGCUUCAGGGUCAUCUCUUGAAUCAAUGGAACGGGAGUCUUGUGCCCCCUGACCAGUUCAUCUCAGAGUUACAGAAAUGAUUCAAUGAAAAGACAUCGACACGCAAUGUGGGUUUAGCUUUCAGCCUUCACUUUAGACCAUCUCCAACAAUAGAUUCACUAUUAGAGUUCUAAAUCAAUUUUUUAAGCGAAAAUAAUUAAAUUAAAAAAUUUAGAUACUUGUUUAAUUUUACCCACUCCAAUGGUAGAACCAAUUAAAAGACAUCGACACGCAAGGUGGGUUUCGUUUUCAGCCUUCACUUUAGACCAUCUCCAACAAUAGAUUCACUAUUAGAGUUCUAAAUCAAUUUUUUAAGUGAAAAUAAUUAAAUUAAAAAAUUUAGAUACUUGUUUAAUUUUACCCACUCCAAUGGUAGAACCAAUUAAAAGUUCUAAAUUUCAAAAAUUUGAAAAUUUG
Molecule: long non-coding RNA, 927 nt
Organism: Brassica oleracea var. oleracea
Lineage: Eukaryota; Viridiplantae; Streptophyta; Magnoliopsida; Brassicales; Brassicaceae
Exons: 4
Source: RefSeq, a predicted model, not a curated record